This 441-nucleotide long non-coding RNA is filed under the name Ananas comosus (pineapple). Its description in RNAcentral is "long non-coding RNA (ACOM_LNC010540)". Lineage: Eukaryota; Viridiplantae; Streptophyta; Magnoliopsida; Poales; Bromeliaceae. The record is from RNAcentral.
CUUCGUUGUCGGCAAUGGCGGUGGCGGUGGAGACGGUGGGUUUCCGUAAGUGGGUUUAGUAGAUGGAGAAUCUACUGCGAUAGAGGUGGAGGGCGAAGAUGAGAUGGGCAUAGAAGAAGCAUGAGGAAGCGGAGGGGGAGGAAGAGGAGAAACGACAUAAUUUUCGUCAAAAGAGUGCAACUUAGUCCAAAGAGUGCAACUUCUGUCUCAAAAAGUGUAAUUUUUAUUUUAAAGAGUGUAACUUUCGUUUAAAACAGUGCAAUAUUUUUAUGAAAUAGUGCAACAUCAUUUUCUUCUUCUUUCUCUGGUUUUUUGGCCUUUUUAGAACUUUUUUUUUACUUUUUUUUAUUCUUCAUUCUUUUUUACCAUCUAUAUCUUUUUUCCACUAUCGCAAUCUCUCUCUCGUCCUCUAUCGUAGCCAUCGCCCUUGUCGGAUGUGUU